AUUGAACGCUGGCGGCAGGCCUAACACAUGAAAGUCGAACGGUAACAGGAAGCAGCUUGCUGCUUUGCUGACGAGUGGCGGACGGGUGAGUAAUGUCUGGGAAACUGCCUGAUGGAGGGGGAUAACUACUGGAAACGGUAUCUAAUACCGCAUAACGUCGCAAGACCAAAGAGGGGGACCUUAGGGCCUCUUGCCAUCGGAUGUGCCCAGAUGGGAUUAGCUAGUAGGUGGGGUAACGGCUCACCUAGGCGACGAUCCCUAGCUGGUCUGAGAGGAUGACCAGCCACACUGGAACUGAGACACGGUCCAGACUCCUACGGGAGGCAGCAGUGGGGAAUAUUGCACAAUGGGCGCAAGCCUGAUGCAGCCAUGCCGCGUGUAUGAAGAAGGCCUUCGGGUUGUAAAGUACUUUCAGCGGGGAGGAAGGGAGUAAAGUUAAUACCUUUGCUCAUUGACGUUACCCGCAGAAGAAGCACCGGCUAACUCCGUG
RNAcentral lists this ribosomal RNA (490 nucleotides) under uncultured bacterium. RNAcentral's name for it is "partial 16S ribosomal RNA". It matches the Rfam family "Bacterial small subunit ribosomal RNA", at positions 30 to 507 of the family's 1533-position model. The record is from RNAcentral.